UACAAUGGUCGGUACAAAGAAGCAGCCAGACCGCGAGGUGGAGCAAAUCUCAAAAACCGAAUCCCAGUUCGGAUUGUAGGCUGCAACUCGCCUACAUGAAGUUGGAGUUGCUAGUAAUCGCGAAUCAGAAUGUCGCGGUGAAUGCGUUCCCGGGUCUUGUACACACCGCCCGUCACACCACGGAAGUUGGGGGUGCCCAAAGUUGGCAGGAAAAUAUGUUACCUAAGGCAAAACCGAUGACUGGGGUGAAGUCGUAACAAGGUAAC
RNAcentral lists this ribosomal RNA (266 nucleotides) under uncultured bacterium. RNAcentral's name for it is "partial 16S ribosomal RNA". It matches the Rfam family "Bacterial small subunit ribosomal RNA", at positions 1226 to 1500 of the family's 1533-position model. The record is from RNAcentral.